CAGAACUUGGUUUUAAUUUGGAUCAUGAUGAACCAUUUUGGGCAAUAAGGUCCAGAACUAAGGUAGAUGAUGGCCAGUGGCAUUCAAUUCAAGUAAGAAGAAGAAAACGAAUGGGCUUCAUUUCUGUUGAUGGAUAUGAUAUAAAUAAAGGAGUAGCUAAAACUGGAGCUAUAUCUCUGAGAACUAAUUCGAAACUAUGGUUGGGUCACUAUAUAUGGAUAAGAGUGGAUCUUCAGUACUACCAGCUGGUCUCCCAACCUCAUAUUACAAAGGAUUUGAUGGCUGCAUCCAAAAAGUUCUAAUCCACGGCAAACCUCUAGACUUAUUAGCAGAUAAUGAUAUAAGUAAAAUUAAUUUUUGCCAUGGUAAUGAAAUAUAGAUAUAAUCUCAAACAUCUUUUUACAAAGUCUUUAUAUAACUAAAGAUUUCAAACUAUGAGACUGAUAUUUUACUAUUAUUUCUGAAAUAUUGACUUCAACUCACUGGAAAAGGUUACGCAAAAAUAAAAUAUACAGAAAAGCUUUGAAAACCUUCCCAGUACCAACAAUUAAAUGAGCCUUGAAUUUUUUUGUAUAUUUUACCAUAUAAAUGUCUACAAUCGAUUAUUUAUUAGAUAAAUUGAUAGAUCAAUAAUCAUUUCAUAAAAAGAAUCAAUGUACUAUUAGUUCAAAAAAUAAUUACAAUCGAUUUAUUAUUCCUACCAUAUUAUAUUACUUGUAUUGUGCUGCCUCCAAAGUGAUUUCUUUCAUUAAGAAUAUUUCACCAAAUUUUUUAAAUUCAAUCCUGGAAAGAUUUUUUGAAUUUCUCAUAAAACCAUAAUUUGUUCGUUAGUUUUGGAUUAUCGAUCCUCUUUUAUAAAAUUUCUCGGGCUGCCUCUACUCUUAAUGGGAGCCCCAUUUUCGUUUUUUUUUAUACUUAUUUAUAUACCAUUCGAACAUUUGUUUCAUUAUCCUCGUCUUCUUCCAAUUUUUUUAAUUCAUUCAGUUCGCAUUGUCGUUUUUAUAUUUUUAUACCUAAUUUUUCACUUGCCAGUAUAUCCUGCACCUUUUCUCAACAAUUUCUCUAUCUCAUUGGCUUAUUGAUGUACAUAACAAUGUAUUAUUCCCAAUUUUGUAUUUAAUUUGAAAUAUUUAUAUACUUUUUAUUCUACUCUUUCAGUACUCCUUGCAUUGGGAGACCAAAUUUACUUCACUGGUAUCAAAUCUAAGUGCCAAUUCAGCCUUUUCAAUUAUUCUUAUCAGUGUAUUUAUCCUGGAAUAUAAAUCAUGAUAGCUGAUCUAAGUGUCAAUAACCAAACCAUUGUAUUGUUCUACAAUUUCACACAGACCAGAGUUAUAAAAAUUAUUCUAAACGUCACCAGACCUUAGUUACAUAGCAAGAAAAAUAAUCUGCUUUUUUAAGUAAUACUAGUUAAAUUGUAGUUUUCUUAUUCCACAUUCAUUCUGUUCUAGAAUCGGAACAAAUUUUUCCAUAUGGUAGGUUUUCUCGAUUUGAUAACUGACAUACCUGUAACUAUAAAUAUUUUCAGCAACAUGGCGUUUAUGUAUAAGUUACACAAAAUGGUGUUUCAUCCCAAUAAUAUAAUUCAGAAACACUGUGGGUGAUGAUAUUUACUGGAUGUGUUAAUAAAACAAAUUAGUAGAUAUAAGUUUGUAACAAUGAUGCGUAUUUAUAUUUUCUAGUUUUUGAUGGUACUAUAUAUAACGUACAAAUAUUUUUCAUGAAAUCAUGUAUUAACUCAUCUUACAAACUGUAAAAUACAUGUUACGUUGUACAUAUUUAAAAUUAAAGAAUAGAAUAUAAUUAUGUCAGUUCCACUGUCCUGUUGCGAUAAAAAUUGAAUAUACAGCUACAGUUUUCAAACUUAGUACUCAGUAGUCUAGAACUGAUGUAUUUAUAUUUUAUUUUCUUUUGAAGAAUUGUGUAAAAAUUAUAGAAUUCUUUUAAAAUUU
Diorhabda sublineata is the source of this 1952-nucleotide long non-coding RNA. RefSeq lists it as uncharacterized. The record is from RefSeq and is a predicted model, not a curated record. NCBI's taxonomy places the organism in Eukaryota, Metazoa, Arthropoda, Insecta, Coleoptera, Chrysomelidae. The transcript is spliced from 3 exons.